This 85-nucleotide transfer RNA is filed under the name bacterium. RNAcentral describes it as "tRNA-Leu". It matches the Rfam family "tRNA". From Rfam's summary of the family: Transfer RNA (tRNA) molecules are approximately 80 nucleotides in length. The record is from RNAcentral.
GCUGGAGUGGCGGAAUUGGUAGACGCGCACGACUCAAAAUCGUGUCUCUUCGGAGGUGGGAGUUCGAUUCUCCCCUCCAGCACAA